AGGAUGAACGCUAGCUACAGGCUUAACACAUGCAAGUCGAGGGGCAGCAUUUUAGUUUGCUUGCAAACUGAAGAUGGCGACCGGCGCACGGGUGAGUAACACGUAUCCAACCUGCCGAUAACUCCGGGAUAGCCUUUCGAAAGAAAGAUUAAUACCGGAUAGCAUACGAAUAUCGCAUGAUAUUUUUAUUAAAGAAUUUCGGUUAUCGAUGGGGAUGCGUUCCAUUAGUUUGUUGGCGGGGUAACGGCCCACCAAGACUACGAUGGAUAGGGGUUCUGAGAGGAAGGUCCCCCACAUUGGAACUGAGACACGGUCCAAACUCCUACGGGAGGCAGCAGUGAGGAAUAUUGGUCAAUGGGCGAGAGCCUGAACCAGCCAAGUAGCGUGAAGGAUGAAGGCUCUAUGGGUCGUAAACUUCUUUUAUAUGGGAAUAAAGUUUUCCACGUGUGGAAUUUUGUAUGUACCAUAUGAAUAAGGAUCGGCUAACUCCGUGCCAGCAGCCGCGGUAAUACGGAGGAUCCGAGCGUUAUCCGGAUUUAUUGGGUUUAAAGGGAGCGUAGGUGGAUUGUUAAGUCAGUUGUGAAAGUUUGCGGCUCAACCGUAAAAUUGCAGUUGAAACUGGCAGUCUUGAGUACAGUAGAGGUGGGCGGAAUUCGUGGUGUAGCGGUGAAAUGCUUAGAUAUCACGAAGAACUCCGAUUGCGAAGGCAGCUCACUAGACUGUCACUGACACUGAUGCUCGAAAGUGUGGGUAUCAAACAGGAUUAGAUACCCUGGUAGUCCACACAGUAAACGAUGAAUACUCGCUGUUUGCGAUAUACAGUAAGCGGCCAAGCGAAAGCAUUAAGUAUUCCACCUGGGGAGUACGCCGGCAACGGUGAAACUCAAAGGAAUUGACGGGGGCCCGCACAAGCGGAGGAACAUGUGGUUUAAUUCGAUGAUACGCGAGGAACCUUACCCGGGCUUAAAUUGCAACAGAAUAUAUUGGAAACAGUAUAGCCGUAAGGCUGUUGUGAAGGUGCUGCAUGGUUGUCGUCAGCUCGUGCCGUGAGGUGUCGGCUUAAGUGCCAUAACGAGCGCAACCCUUAUCUUUAGUUACUAACAGGUUAUGCUGAGGACUCUAGAGAGACUGCCGUCGUAAGAUGUGAGGAAGGUGGGGAUGACGUCAAAUCAGCACGGCCCUUACGUCCGGGGCUACACACGUGUUACAAUGGGGGGUACAGAAGGCGGCUACCUGGUGACAGGAUGCUAAUCCCAAAAACCUCUCUCAGUUCGGAUCGAAGUCUGCAACCCGACUUCGUGAAGCUGGAUUCGCUAGUAAUCGCGCAUCAGCCAUGGCGCGGUGAAUACGUUCCCGGGCCUUGUACACACCGCCCGUCAAGCCAUGAAAGCCGGGGGUACCUGAAGUACGUAACCGCAAGGAGCGUCCUAGGGUAAAACUGGUAAUUGGGGCUAA
Molecule: ribosomal RNA, 1455 nt
Filed under: uncultured organism
Description: SSU rRNA
Rfam family: Bacterial small subunit ribosomal RNA
Source: RNAcentral